GCCAGUAUGGUGUAGUGGUUUGAACAUUGGACUAUGGCUCUGGAGACCAGGGUUCAAAUCCCCACUCAGCCA
RNAcentral lists this transfer RNA (72 nucleotides) under Phrynosoma platyrhinos (Desert horned lizard). Its description in RNAcentral is "tRNA-OTHER". The record is from RNAcentral. Lineage: Eukaryota; Metazoa; Chordata; Lepidosauria; Squamata; Phrynosomatidae.